AUACAGAGGGUGCGAGCGUUAAUCGGAAUUACUGGGCGUAAAGCGCGCGUAGGCGGUCUAUUAAGUCAGAUGUGAAAUCCCAGGGCUCAACCUUGGAACUACAUCUGAUACUGGUAGACUAGAGUUUUGGAGAGGGAAGUAGAAUUUCAGGUGUAGCGGUGAAAUGCAUAGAGAUCUGAAGGAAUACCAGUGGCGAAGGCGACUUCCUGGCCAAAAACUGACGCUGAGGUGCGAAAGCGUGGGUAGCAAACAGGAUUAGAAACCCUUGUAGUCC
This 274-nucleotide ribosomal RNA is filed under the name uncultured bacterium. RNAcentral describes it as "partial 16S ribosomal RNA". It matches the Rfam family "Bacterial small subunit ribosomal RNA", at positions 523 to 796 of the family's 1533-position model. The record is from RNAcentral.